AUUGAACGCUGGCGGCAGGCUUAACACAUGCAAGUCGAGCGGGGGGAGGUAGCUUGCUACCGGACCUGGCGGCGGACGGGUGAGUAAUGCUUAGGAAUCUGCCUCUUAGUGGGGGACAACAUCUCGAAAGGGAUGCUAAUACCGAAUACGUCCUACGGGAGAAAGCAGGGGAUCUUCGGACCUUGCGCUAAUAGAUGAGCCUAAGUCGGAUUAGCGAGUUGGUGGGGUAAAGUCCUACCAAGGCGACGAUCUGUAGCGGGUCUGAGAGGAUGAUCCGCCACACUGGGACUGAGACACGGCCCAGACUCCUACGGGAGGCAGCAGUGGGGAAUAUUGGACAAUGGGGGGAACCCUGAUCCAGCCAUGCCGCGUGUGUGAAGAAGGCCUUAUGGUUGUAAAGCACUUUAAGCGAGGAGGAGGCUACUUUAGUUAAUACCUAGAGAUAGUGGACGUUACUCGCAGAAUAAGCACCGGCUAACUCUGUGCCAGCCGCCGCCGUAA
Molecule: ribosomal RNA, 501 nt
Filed under: uncultured bacterium
Lineage: Bacteria
Description: partial 16S ribosomal RNA
Rfam family: Bacterial small subunit ribosomal RNA
Source: RNAcentral